AACACAACAACUACUUAACAUGUUUUUUACUUUAACUACUUUGACCUUGUGCUAUUUAUUUUGUCCACAUGUGUCAGCCUCCUCCAGUCUCAGAGAAACAAUCAGAGCUCUGCUACAGACCAAGAUGAAAAUCAACAGCCAGUAUACUCGUCUCUUCUCCACGGUGACAUUUGUGUCUAUGAAUCAAUCAGAGGCUCUGGGAAUGGUGGGAAUGGUGGACAGGCAGA
This is a long non-coding RNA of Lates calcarifer (barramundi perch), 227 nucleotides long. RefSeq lists it as uncharacterized. The transcript has 3 exons. The record is from RefSeq and is a predicted model, not a curated record. NCBI's taxonomy places the organism in Eukaryota, Metazoa, Chordata, Actinopteri, Centropomidae.